This 499-nucleotide ribosomal RNA is filed under the name uncultured bacterium. RNAcentral's name for it is "bacterial SSU rRNA". It matches the Rfam family "Bacterial small subunit ribosomal RNA", at positions 30 to 526 of the family's 1533-position model. The record is from RNAcentral.
AUUGAACGCUGGCGGAAUGCUUUACACAUGCAAGUCGAACGGUAGAGGGGGCAACCCCUUGAGAGUGGCGAACGGGUGAGUAAUACGUCGGAACAUGCCCAGUCGUGGGGGAUAACGUAGCGAAAGCUACGCUAAUACCGCAUACGAUCUAUGGAUGAAAGCGGGGGACCGAAAGGCCUCGCGCGAUUGGAGUGGCCGAUGGCAGAUUAGGUAGUUGGUGGGGUAAAGGCCUACCAAGCCUGCGAUCUGUAGCUGGUCUGAGAGGACGACCAGCCACACUGGGACUGAGACACGGCCCAGACUCCUACGGGAGGCAGCAGUGGGGAAUUUUGGACAAUGGGCGCAAGCCUGAUCCAGCCAUUCCGCGUGCAGGAUGAAGGCCCUCGGGUUGUAAACUGCUUUUGUACGGAACGAAAAGGUGGCCUCUAAUACAGGUUGCUGAUGACGGUACCGUAAGAAUAAGCACCGGCUAACUACGUGCCAGCCGCCGCCGUAAGAC